RNAcentral lists this ribosomal RNA (468 nucleotides) under uncultured bacterium. Its description in RNAcentral is "partial 16S ribosomal RNA". It matches the Rfam family "Bacterial small subunit ribosomal RNA", at positions 28 to 507 of the family's 1533-position model. The record is from RNAcentral.
GACGAACGCUGGCGGCGUGCCUAACACAUGCAAGUCGAACGGAAAGGCCCUGCUUUUUUGCUGUGCUGGAGUGCCGAACGGGUGCGUAUCACGUGUGUAACCUGCCCUUUACUUUGGUGGAACUUCAGGUAACGGGAGCUAAUACCAUACAGCAGCUCCUGCUGCAUGGUGGGGAUUGGAAAUUUUCGGCGGUUGGGGAUGAACGCGCGGCUAAUCGGCUUGUUGGUUGGGUAGUGGCUUACCAACGCAGUGACGGGUCGCCGGCCUGGGAGGGUGACCGGGCACAAUGGGACUGAGGUACGGCCCAGACGGCUACGUGAGGCAGCAGUGGGAAACAUUACCCAAUGGGCGGAAGCCGGAUGCAAAGACGCCGCGUGCGGAAUGACGGUUUGUGGGGAGUAAACAGCUUUAGCCUGUGACGCAGCGGGAGUGACGGUAACGGGUAAAGAAGCACCGGCUAACUACGUG